RNAcentral lists this ribosomal RNA (149 nucleotides) under Candidatus Mycoplasma haematolamae. Its description in RNAcentral is "Candidatus Mycoplasma haemolamae partial 16S ribosomal RNA". It matches the Rfam family "Bacterial small subunit ribosomal RNA", at positions 397 to 539 of the family's 1533-position model. Lineage: Bacteria; Bacillati; Mycoplasmatota; Mollicutes; Mycoplasmatales; Mycoplasmataceae. The record is from RNAcentral.
CCACGUGAACGAUGAAGGUCUUCUGAUUGUAAAGUUCUUUUAUUUAGGAAAAAAAGCAGGAUAGGAAAUGAUUCUGCCGUGAUUGUACUAAUUGAAUAAGUGACAGCUAACUAUGUGCCAGCAGCUGCGGUAAAACAUAGGUCACGAGC